GUAGCUUGCUACUUAACCUACCCGGCGGACGGGUGAGUAAUGCUUAGGAAUCUGCCUAUUAGUGGGGGACAACAUCUCGAAAGGGAUGCUAAUACCGCAUACGUCCUACGGGAGAAAGCAGGGGACCUUCGGGCCUUGCGCUAAUAGAUGAGCCUAAGUCGGAUUAGCUAGUUGGUGGGGUAAAGGCCUACCAAGGCGACGAUCUGUAGCGGGUCUGAGAGGAUGAUCCGCCACACUGGGACUGAGACACGGCCCAGACUCCUACGGGAGGCAGCAGUGGGGAAUAUUGGACAAUGGGGGGAACCCUGAUCCAGCCAUGCCGCGUGUGUGAAGAAGGCCUUUUGGUUGUAAAGCACUUUAAGCGAGGAGGAGGCUACCGAGAUUAAUACUCUUGGAUAGUGGACGUUACUCGCAGAAUAAGCACCCGGCUAACUCUGUGCCAGCAGCCGCGGUAAUACAGAGGGUGCAAGCGUUAAUCGGAUUUACUGGGGCGAAAGCGCGCGUAGGUGGCCAUUAAGUCAAUGUGAAUCCCCGAGCUUAACUUGGGAUUGCAUUCGAUACUGGUUGGCUAGAGUAUGGGAGAGGAUGGUAGAAUUCCAGGUGUAGCGGUGAAAUGCGUAGAGAUCUGGAGGAAUACCGAUGGCGAAGGCAGCCAUCUGGCCUAAUACUGACACUGAGGUGCGAAAGCAUGGGGAGCAAACAGGAUUAGAUACCCUGGUAGUCCAUGCCGUAAACGAUGUCUACUAGCCGUUGGGGCCUUUGAGGCUUUAGUGGCGCAGCUAACACGAUAAGUAGACCGCCUGGGGAGUACGGUCGCAUGACUAUCACUCAAAUGAAUUGACGGC
RNAcentral lists this ribosomal RNA (845 nucleotides) under uncultured Acinetobacter sp. Its description in RNAcentral is "bacterial SSU rRNA". It matches the Rfam family "Bacterial small subunit ribosomal RNA", at positions 75 to 917 of the family's 1533-position model. The record is from RNAcentral. Lineage: Bacteria; Pseudomonadati; Pseudomonadota; Gammaproteobacteria; Moraxellales; Moraxellaceae.